AUGAAGACCGAAUCACCGCGUCAUCUUCGUAACCCUCUGCUCGUCCUCCUCUUCCUCGCAGCAGCAGCAGCAGCCCCCGUCGCCCAGAUCGCCAUGGCGGCCGAGCCGGAGCAGGCGCCGGCGGCGCAGGAGGCGGCCGUGCACAUCGUGUACGUGGACCGCCCCGAGGACGCCGACCCCGAGGAGUUCCACAUCCGCACCCUCGCCCCCGUCCUCGGCAGAUUCGUUCUCUUGAGACCUUUUCCGGCUGUGUGUCAAUUUGCUGAUCUGGGGGGAAUUUUGGCAGCGAGGAGAAGGCCAGGGGCGCGGUCCUCUACCACUACAAGCACGCCGCCAGCGGAUUCUCCGCAAAGCUCACCACCGAGCAGGUCGAGGACCUCAAGAAGCAACCAGGUGUCCUUCAGGUUGUGCCGAGCCAGACCGUCCAGCUCCAUGGAAAUGAGGGAGGACAUGCCAAGACAACGCGCACCAUGGGCCUUAUGUGAAAGCCCUGAGUAG
RNAcentral lists this ribosomal RNA (498 nucleotides) under Triticum aestivum (bread wheat). Its description in RNAcentral is "partial small subunit ribosomal RNA". Lineage: Eukaryota; Viridiplantae; Streptophyta; Magnoliopsida; Poales; Poaceae. The record is from RNAcentral.